RNAcentral lists this ribosomal RNA (374 nucleotides) under uncultured organism. Its description in RNAcentral is "bacterial SSU rRNA". It matches the Rfam family "Bacterial small subunit ribosomal RNA", at positions 526 to 896 of the family's 1533-position model. The record is from RNAcentral.
CGGGGGGAGCAAGCGUUGUUCGGAUUUACUGGGCGUAAAGGGCGCGUAGGCGGCGUGACAAGUCACUUGUGAAAUCUCCGGGCUUAACCCGGAGCGGCCAAGUGAUACUGUCGUGCUAGAGUGCGGAAGGGGCUACUGGAAUUCUCGGUGUAGCGGUGAAAUGCGUAGAUAUCGAGAGGAACACCUGCGGCGAAGGCGGGUAGCUGGGCCGACACUGACGCUGAGGCGCGAAAGCCAGGGGGAGCGAACGGGAUUAGAUACCCCGGUAGUCCUGGCCUUAAACGAUGGAUACUUGGUGUCCGGGGUUACAUAGUCCCCGGGUGCCGGUCGCUAACGCAUUAAGUAUCCGCCUGGGGAGUACGGUCGCAAGACUG